Small nuclear RNA from Ochotona curzoniae (black-lipped pika), 105 nucleotides. Lineage: Eukaryota; Metazoa; Chordata; Mammalia; Lagomorpha; Ochotonidae. The record is from RefSeq and is a predicted model, not a curated record.
GCUCACUAUGGCAGCGCAUACACUAAAGUUAGAAUGAUACAGAGAAGAUUAGCAUGGCUCCUGUGCAAGGAUGACAUGUAAAUUUGUGAAGUGUUCCAUAUUCUA